GAUGAACGCUGGCGGCGUGCUUAACACAUGCAAGUCGAACGGUGAAGCAGGAGCUUGCUCUUGUGGAUCAGUGGCGAACGGGUGAGUAACACGUGAGCAACCUGCCCCUGACUCUGGGAUAAGCGCUGGAAACGGCGUCUAAUACUGGAUAUGUGAUGUGACCGCAUGGUCUGCAUCUGGAAAGAACUUCGGUUGGGGAUGGGCUCGCGGCCUAUCAGCUUGUUGGUGAGGUAAUGGCACACCAAGGCGUCGACGGGUAGCCGGCCUGAGAGGGUGACCGGCCACACUGGGACUGGGACACGGCCCAGACUCCUACGGGAGGCAGCAGUGGGGAAUAUUGCACAAUGGGCGGAAGCCUGAUGCAGCAACGCCGCGUGAGGGAUGACGGCCUUCGGGUUGUAAACCUCUUUUAGCAGGGAAGAAGCGAAAGUGACGGUACCUGCAGAAAAAGCACCGGCUAACUACGUGCCAGCCGCCGCCGUAA
This 484-nucleotide ribosomal RNA is filed under the name uncultured bacterium. Its description in RNAcentral is "partial 16S ribosomal RNA". It matches the Rfam family "Bacterial small subunit ribosomal RNA", at positions 28 to 523 of the family's 1533-position model. The record is from RNAcentral.